Molecule: unclassified non-coding RNA, 434 nt
Filed under: soil metagenome
Description: partial contains 5.8S ribosomal RNA, internal transcribed spacer 2, and large subunit ribosomal RNA
Rfam family: 5.8S ribosomal RNA (bases 1-120)
Source: RNAcentral
GAUGAAGAACGUAGCGAAAUGCGAUACGUAAUGUGAAUUGCAGAAUUCAGUGAAUCAUCGAAUCUUUGAACGCAUAUUGCGCUCUUUGGUAUUCCGAAGAGCAUGCUUGUUUGAGUAUCAGUAAACACCUCAAAGCUUUUGGAUUUUUUAAUCUAAAAGCUUUGGACUUGAGCAAUCCCAACACCAAUCUUUUUGAGAUCGGUGGCGGGUUGCUUGAAAUGCAGGUGCAGCUGGACAUUCUCCUGAGCUAAAAGCAUAUUCAUUUAGUCCCGUCAAACGGAUUAUUACUUUUGCUGCAGCUAACAUAAAGGGAGUUUGACCGUAUUGGCUGACUGAUGCAGGAUUUCACAAGGGUCGGCAACGAUUCUUGUUAAACUCGAUCUCAAAUCAAGUAAGACUACCCGCUGAACUUAAGCAUAUCAAUAAGCGGAGGA